UAGAGUUUGAUCAUGGCUCAGGAUGAACGCUGGCGGCGUGCUUAACACAUGCAAGUCGAACGGUGAACACGGAGCUUGCUCUGUGGGAUCAGUGGCGAACGGGUGAGUAACACGUGAGCAACCUGCCCCUGACUCUGGGAUAAGCGCUGGAAACGGCGUCUAAUACUGGAUAUGUGACGUGACCGCAUGGUCUGCGUUUGGAAAGAUUUUUCGGUUGGGGAUGGGCUCGCGGCCUAUCAGCUUGUUGGUGAGGUAAUGGCUCACCAAGGCGUCGACGGGUAGCCGGCCUGAGAGGGUGACCGGCCACACUGGGACUGAGACACGGCCCAGACUCCUACGGGAGGCAGCAGUGGGGAAUAUUGCACAAUGGGCGGAAGCCUGAUGCAGCAACGCCGCGUGAGGGAUGACGGCCUUCGGGUUGUAAACCUCUUUUAGCAGGGAAGAAGCGAAAGUGACGGUACCUGCAGAAAAAGCGCCGGCUAACUACGUGCCAGCAGCCGCGGUAAUACGUAGGGCGCAAGCGUUAUCCGGAAUUAUUGGGCGUAAAGAGCUCGUAGGCGGUUUGUCGCGUCUGCUGUGAAAUCCCGAGGCUCAACCUCGGGCCUGCAGUGGGUACGGGCAGACUAGAGUGCGGUAGGGGAGAUUGGAAUUCCUGGUGUAGCGGUGGAAUGCGCAGAUAUCAGGAGGAACACCGAUGGCGAAGGCAGAUCUCUGGCCGUAACUGACG
This 727-nucleotide ribosomal RNA is filed under the name Microbacterium paraoxydans. RNAcentral's name for it is "bacterial SSU rRNA". It matches the Rfam family "Bacterial small subunit ribosomal RNA", at positions 1 to 745 of the family's 1533-position model. Lineage: Bacteria; Bacillati; Actinomycetota; Actinomycetes; Micrococcales; Microbacteriaceae. The record is from RNAcentral.